UAAACAGCCAGUGAAUUCCAUUCAUCAAAUAAAGCGAGCUUCUUUAAUACUUGAGCAACUGUAUUUGGUCCAAACCAUUCUCCAAUCGAUUUCCCCUCUCCAACACCCAUCUGUGCCAUCUGGUGGAUGGAAUAACAGCAAUCCUUCCUGUCUAGAAAGCAGUGGAGGAUUCUGUGAUAUUCUUCUGGUUGUUUUUUGUGUUUUUCCCAUUGCCAAUCUCUUCCUAAAUGCCUGCAGAUCAGUGCCUGUGCCAGCAUCAUCUGCCCGCAUCGCAGCAUGCAUCCCCAGCCAGCGUCAGACGAAGGACCAGUGCCUCCAAUAGGCGAAAACUUUCUUCUGUAUGUAAACCAGAGACGAGCACUGACAUCCAGCAGUAACUUGGAUUUGUCUUCGUUCAAGUGGUGCUGCCUUCCCAGAAUCCACACCGGCUCAUCGGUGUCGGGAAAUUCUUCUAAGUAGUCGGACAGAAUAGUGAUCUGGUUUUCAUACCUGGAUAAAACUGACUCCAUCCUCCCGCCGUCACCAUCCUCCUCCUCCUCCUCCUCCUCG
This 549-nucleotide long non-coding RNA is filed under the name Gallus gallus (chicken). Lineage: Eukaryota; Metazoa; Chordata; Aves; Galliformes; Phasianidae. The record is from RNAcentral.